This is a long non-coding RNA of Castor canadensis (American beaver), 244 nucleotides long. RefSeq lists it as uncharacterized. Lineage: Eukaryota; Metazoa; Chordata; Mammalia; Rodentia; Castoridae. The record is from RefSeq and is a predicted model, not a curated record.
AGUUCUCGUGAAUGCAGGACCAGUCCCUGAUAUCACUAGACUCCCAAAAACUUCACUUCAGGUCAAGCACAGAGUGGCACACCAGACUUGGAGUUUUAGUGAUCCAGCACCCCCAAACCAUGGAAAACUAUCUGCAGCAACAAUGGGAUUCGGAAAGCAGCUUUGGCUCGUCGAAAGACUCCGACACGGAUCAAUACUCAGAUUGUAGUGGUGGAGGACGACGCACUACCUUCCUUAACUGAGC